RNAcentral lists this ribosomal RNA (253 nucleotides) under uncultured bacterium. RNAcentral's name for it is "partial 16S ribosomal RNA". It matches the Rfam family "Bacterial small subunit ribosomal RNA", at positions 524 to 776 of the family's 1533-position model. The record is from RNAcentral.
UACGAAGGGGGCUAGCGUUGCUCGGAAUGACUGGGCGUAAAGGGCGCGUAGGCGGAUUUGACAGUCAGGCGUGAAAGCCCUGGGCUUAACCCGGGAGGUGCGCUUGAAACUGGAGUGCUCGAACGUGGGAGAGGAAAGCGGAAUUCCUGGUGUAGCGGUGAAAUGCGUAGAUAUCAGGAGGAACACCGGUGGUGUAAACGGCUUUCUGGACCAUAACUGACGCUGAGGCACGAAAGCGUGGGUAGCAAACAGG